GUGGUUUAGUGGUAAAAUUCAACGUUCCCAUUGUUGAGCCCCGGGUUCGAUUCC
RNAcentral lists this transfer RNA (54 nucleotides) under Zygosaccharomyces rouxii. RNAcentral's name for it is "partial transfer RNA". Lineage: Eukaryota; Fungi; Ascomycota; Saccharomycetes; Saccharomycetales; Saccharomycetaceae. The record is from RNAcentral.